Ictidomys tridecemlineatus (thirteen-lined ground squirrel) is the source of this 72-nucleotide non-coding RNA. The record is from Rfam. Lineage: Eukaryota; Metazoa; Chordata; Mammalia; Rodentia; Sciuridae.
GGGGUCGUAGCUCAGUGGUAGAGCACUCGCCUAGCUUGUGUGAGGCCCUGAGUUCGAUCCUCAGCACCCCUU